GCAAAAUUAUCCUCAUAAGUUUGACGAUAAGAGGAACCGUUUGGCGCGUAGCGUUUAGACGGUGGCACAGAAUCGGAGGCCCCGACUGUUUACUAAAAACACAAUUCAGAGCAAUGAUUAAGAUAAUAGUAUUCUGAAUGAAAUUUGCCCGAUGCCAUUAAUAUAAGAGAGGUAAUCGGCUACGCCGGUUACUAAUCGAAAGUCUGGUUAAUAGCGGUCUUAACUAUGAGGAUCCAAAGGUAGCAAAAUCAGUUGGCCAUUAAAUGUGGUCUGGUAUCAAUAGUGUAACGAUGGUCUCACUGUCUCUACAACUUGCUCAGUGAAAUUGAAUUACCCGUGCAGAUGCGGGUUGCCUCCAGGUGGACGGGAAGACCCUAUGCAGCUUU
Molecule: ribosomal RNA, 386 nt
Filed under: Amylocystis lapponica
Lineage: Eukaryota; Fungi; Basidiomycota; Agaricomycetes; Polyporales; Postiaceae
Description: LSU rRNA
Rfam family: Bacterial large subunit ribosomal RNA
Source: RNAcentral